CGCGUAGGUGGUUUGUUAAGUUGGAUGUGAAAGCCCCGGGCUCAACCUGGGAACUGCAUCCAAAAACUGGCAAGCUAGAGUACGGUAGAGGGUGGUGGAAUUUCCUGUGUAGCGGUGAAAUGCGUUGAUAUCCUGCAGAACACCGGUGGCGAAGGCGGCAUCCUGGGACGUUACUGACGCUGAGGCGCGAAAGCAGGGGGAGCAAACA
This 208-nucleotide ribosomal RNA is filed under the name uncultured bacterium. Its description in RNAcentral is "partial 16S ribosomal RNA". It matches the Rfam family "Bacterial small subunit ribosomal RNA", at positions 568 to 774 of the family's 1533-position model. The record is from RNAcentral.